RNAcentral lists this transfer RNA (64 nucleotides) under Baeotus beotus. RNAcentral describes it as "tRNA-Tyr". It matches the Rfam family "tRNA". From Rfam's summary of the family: Transfer RNA (tRNA) molecules are approximately 80 nucleotides in length. Lineage: Eukaryota; Metazoa; Arthropoda; Insecta; Lepidoptera; Nymphalidae. The record is from RNAcentral.
AUAAAAUGGCUGAGUAAUUAAGCGAUAAAUUGUAAAUUUAUUUACGAGAUUAUAUCUCUUUUAU